Molecule: long non-coding RNA, 996 nt
Organism: Panthera uncia (snow leopard)
Lineage: Eukaryota; Metazoa; Chordata; Mammalia; Carnivora; Felidae
Exons: 4
Source: RefSeq, a predicted model, not a curated record
GGCAGAGAGGGGGAGACACAGAACUCAAAGCAGGCUCCGGGCCCCGCACUAUCAGCACAGAGCCCAACUCGGGGCUCCAACUCAUGAACCCCGAGAUCACGACCUGAGCCAAAGUCGGACUCUUGACCGACUGGGCUCCCCGGGCGCCCCAAAGCCAUCGAGAAGUUCUAAUGCCAGGCACUCUAGCUCCGGAAUGUGAGGGCUUCACCAGCUUCCAGCCCCACCUCACAGAGCUCCAAGCCCUGGUGAUGUCAGCGUGGAAUCAGAGGAGCCCGAGAGCUACCACGAAGACGAAAACAUUGGUUUAUGACUGCUCUCCGGGGCAGAAUCCGUCCUCCCCAAAGCAUGUGACACACACCUCCAUCAGGGCAUCUACAACAUCUGUGCUGACGUUCCCGGGUCUCCAGGAGGAACGACUUGUGCACCAGACCGCGAGUUAGUCGUGAAACUUGAUGCUGUUUUCCUCAUUUCACAGAUGAAAACACUGAGGACUGGCAGGGAGAUAGACUGCUUAAGUCACGAGACCCUGGAGCUGGAAGGGACCAGAUGACCAGCUCAACCUCUUCCUCUUUCUGAGGCCCGGGAAGCACGAACUCCACUGAGCUCAGUAGAACCUGGGCUGGAGCUCUCUCAGUCUACUCGGCUCUGCCUCCUUACCUCCACAUUCCCGACUCGGAAGCCCACGGCUUGAGAAAGUGCCUCAAAGACCCUCCUUCUCUUAAAAAAACACACACACACACAAAAAACCAAAACCACAACCCCAUCCGUUAGCGAAGAAGAAUUAUUGCCAAACAAAUAAAAAGAUCCUAAACCUCACUCGUAAUUUUAAAAAAUGCAAAUCAAAACAAUGAGAUGCUAGUUUUCAUCUAACAGACUGGCGAGGCUGAGUUUGAGAAUGCCCGUCAUCGGUGAUUCAGCCUGUCCCGAUAACCCGUUGGUUGGAGUCUAAAUGGGGCAACCUUCUGGGAAACGCUUUGGGAAGAUCCGUAAAGAUUG